GGGGGGAGGCCGGAUCCUGUGCUGUGUCCCGGCGCCCAGUAUUCCUGGGCCUGCGCUGUUGGAUUCGUGCUCCCGGCCGUGCAGCCGCCU
RNAcentral lists this microRNA precursor (90 nucleotides) under Canis lupus familiaris (dog). RNAcentral's name for it is "mir-8799 microRNA precursor family". It matches the Rfam family "mir-8799 microRNA precursor family". The record is from Rfam by way of RNAcentral. RNAcentral also lists the same sequence under 1 other name. Lineage: Eukaryota; Metazoa; Chordata; Mammalia; Carnivora; Canidae.